UACCUGGUUGAUCCUGCCAGUAGUCAUAUGCUUGUCUCAAAGAUUAAGCCAUGCAUGUCUAAGUAUAAGCUUUUAUACGGCGAAACUGCGAAUGGCUCAUUAAAACAGUUAUAGUUUAUUUGAUGGUCAUUUACUACUUGGAUACCCGUGGUAAUUCUAGAGCUAAUACAUGCGCACAAGCCCCACUUAUUGGACGGGCUGCGUUUAUUAGAUACAGAACCAACCUGAGCUCCGCUUAGUUCAUGGUGACUCAUGAUAACCCUGCGAAUCGCAUGGCAUCAGCCGGCGAUGGAUCAUUCAAGUUUCUGACCUAUCAGCUGUGGACGGUAGGGUAUUGGCCUACCGUGGCAUUGACGGGUAACGGAGAAUUAGGGUUCGAUUCCGGAGAGGGAGCCUGAGAAACGGCUACCACAUCUAAGGAAGGCAGCAGGCGCGCAAAUUACCCAAUCCUGACAUAGGGAGGUAGUGACAAGAAAUAACAAUACAGGGCAUUUACGUCUUGUAAUUGGAAUGAGUAGAAUUUAAAUCCCUUUACGAGUAUCAAUUGGAGGGCAAGUCUGGCGCCAGCAGCCGCGGUAAUUCCAGCUCCAAUAGC
RNAcentral lists this ribosomal RNA (595 nucleotides) under uncultured marine eukaryote. RNAcentral describes it as "SSU rRNA". It matches the Rfam family "Eukaryotic small subunit ribosomal RNA", at positions 1 to 598 of the family's 1831-position model. The record is from RNAcentral.